This 492-nucleotide ribosomal RNA is filed under the name uncultured bacterium. RNAcentral's name for it is "partial 16S ribosomal RNA". It matches the Rfam family "Bacterial small subunit ribosomal RNA", at positions 29 to 507 of the family's 1533-position model. The record is from RNAcentral.
AGUGAACGCUGGCGGUAGGCCUAACACAUGCAAGUCGAACGGCAGCACAGUAAGAGCUUGCUCUUACGGGUGGCGAGUGGCGGACGGGUGAGGAAUACAUCGGAAUCUACUUUUUCGUGGGGGAUAACGUAGGGAAACUUACGCUAAUACCGCAUACGACCUACGGGUGAAAGCAGGGGAUCUUCGGACCUUGCGCGAUUGAAUGAGCCGAUGUCGGAUUAGCUAGUUGGCGGGGUAAAGGCCCACCAAGGCGACGAUCCGUAGCUGGUCUGAGAGGAUGAUCAGGCAAACUGGAAAUGGGAAAAGGUCCAGAAUACUAAGGGAGGCAGCAGUGGGGAAUAUUGGAAAAAGGGGGGAAACCUGAACCAGGCAUACCGCGUGGGUGAAGAAGGGCUUCGGGGUGGAAAGGCCUUUUUUUGGGAAAGAAAAGCAGCAGGUUAAUACCCCGCUGUUCUGAAGGUAACCAAAGAAUAAGCACCGGCUAACUUCGUG